This 405-nucleotide ribosomal RNA is filed under the name uncultured bacterium. Its description in RNAcentral is "partial 16S ribosomal RNA". It matches the Rfam family "Bacterial small subunit ribosomal RNA", at positions 28 to 526 of the family's 1533-position model. The record is from RNAcentral.
GACGAACGCUGGCGGCGUGCUUAACACAUGCAAGUCGAGCGGAGCGGCGAACGGGUGAGUAACGCGUGAGUAACUGCCCCCCUCUCUGGGAUAACAGUUGGAAACGGCUGCUAAUACCGGAUAGUGGGGGAUGACUCGGGGCCUAUCAGCUUGUUGGUGGGGUAGUGGCCUACCAAGGCGACGACGGAUAGCCGGCCUGAGAGGGCGACCGGCCACAAUGGUCUAAGGUACGCAGCAAACGCGUACAGGAGGCAGCGGUGGGAAAUAUUACGCAGUGGGGGAAACCCUGAUGCAGCAGCGCCGCGUGCGGAAUGACGGCCUUCGGGUUGUAAACCGCUUGCAGCCAUGACGCGGUAGUGGCAGAAGAAGCACCGGCUAACUACGUGCCAGCAGCCGCGGUAAUAC